AGUGAACGCUGGCGGUAGGCCUAACACAUGCAAGUCGAACGGCAGCACAGUAAGAGCUUGCUCUUACGGGUGGCGAGUGGCGGACGGGUGAGGAAUACAUCGGAAUCUACUUUUUCGUGGGGGAUAACGUAGGGAAACUUACGCUAAUACCGCAUACGACCUACGGGUGAGAGCAGGGGAUCUUCGGACCUUGCGCGAUUGAAUGAGCCGAUGUCGGAUUAGCUAGUUGGCGGGGUAAAGGCCCACCAAGGCGACGAUCCGUAGCUGGUCUGAGAGGAUGAUCAGCCACACUGGAACUGAGACACGGUCCAGACUCCUACGGGAGGCAGCAGUGGGGAAUAUUGGACAAUGGGCGCAAGCCUGAUCCAGCCAUACCGCGUGGGUGAAGAAGGCCUUCGGGUUGUAAAGCCCUGUUGUUGGGAAAGAAAAGCAGCAGGUGAAUACCCCGCUGUUCUGACGGUACCCAAAGAAUAAGCACCGGCUAACUUCGUG
RNAcentral lists this ribosomal RNA (492 nucleotides) under uncultured bacterium. RNAcentral describes it as "partial 16S ribosomal RNA". It matches the Rfam family "Bacterial small subunit ribosomal RNA", at positions 29 to 507 of the family's 1533-position model. The record is from RNAcentral.